AGGGUUUGCUGGCGUCUCAGUUAAUAGCAGUAACGGCAGCCGCUUGUGUUCUUGAUUCUUUGCCAAGCAUUCUUGUUAUUCAACACAGGAAGGAGGUGACUUCGCCUGUGAUGGACUUCCAGUGUGAGCACUGGCCAGAGUGACCAGGCCGACCAGCACCAGCCCUGAUCCAGAUGCAGAGGCCAGGAUGUGGGCCCAGCCCUGUGCCAGGAGGCUGGCUGGAAUAAAGGGAUGGGCAGGCUGGCAUGGGGGCACCCGCUGCCCCUGCCUGGGUGUUGCUGUGUAUUCCUGCCGGCCAGGGGCCACUGCCAGGACCACGCCUCCCUUUUCAUAUCCCGAUUCUUAAGUUCUGCUAUUGUGGUAUUCUGGUGGGAAAAAAAGAACCGCUUGGCUGUUUUUGAACUGCCUGGAACCUAAGAUCCUGAAUUUUUUCCCCCCCAAGGGGGAAAAUCUAUAUGGAAAACAUUUAUUUUAAAAUACAGGAUGAAGUGAAUUAAAAGAUUUAAAUG
RNAcentral lists this non-coding RNA (509 nucleotides) under Pan troglodytes (chimpanzee). Lineage: Eukaryota; Metazoa; Chordata; Mammalia; Primates; Hominidae. The record is from RNAcentral.